This 1424-nucleotide ribosomal RNA is filed under the name metagenome. RNAcentral's name for it is "bacterial SSU rRNA". It matches the Rfam family "Archaeal small subunit ribosomal RNA". The record is from RNAcentral.
GUUGAUCCUGCGGGAGGUUGCUGCUAUUGGAGUUCGACUAAGCCAUGCAAGUUAGGUAACUUUAUGUUGCCGGCAAACUGCUCAGUAACACGUCGUUAAUCUAACCUUAGAUUCGGGAUAACCUCGGGAAACUGAGACUAAUAUCGAAUACGGGAUUAAUUCUGGAAUGAAUUUUCCUAUAAAGGUAACGUCUAAGGAUGAGACGGCGGCGAAUUAGGUUGUUGGUGGUGUAAUGGACCACCAAGCCAACGAUUCGUAGAGGCCUUGAGAGAGGGAGCCUCGAGAAGGGCACUGAGAUACAGGCCCUAGCCCUACGGGGUGCAGCAGGCGCGAAACCUUUACACUGCACGAAAGUGUGAUAAGGGAACUCCAAGUGCUUACCUUUUGGUAGGCUUUUGCCAAAUGUAAAAAGUUUGGCGAAUAAGUGGUGGGAAAGACGGGUGCCAGCCGCCGCGGUAACACCUGCGCCACGAGUGGGGACCAUAAUUAUUGGGCCUAAAGCGUCCGUAGCCGAUCUAGCAAAUCUUCUGUGAAAUUUUAUGCUUAACAUACCAACGUGCAGGAGACACUACUGAAUUGGAACUGGAAGGAGUCAGAAGUAUGUCUGGGGGAGCGGUAAAAUGUUAUAAUCCCAGAUAGACUACCUGUGGCGAAAGCGUCUGACUAGUACAGAUUCGACGGUGAGGGACGAAAGCUAGGGGAGCAAUCCGGAUUAGAUACCCGAGUAGUCCUAGCCAUAAACGCUGCGAGCUAGGUGUAGCAUAUUUUACGAGAAUGUGCUGUGUCGUAGAGAAGUCGUUAAGCUCGCCGCCUGGGAAGUAUAGUCGCAAGACCGAAACUUAAAGGAAUUGGCGGGGGAGCACUACAAGGGGUGCGGCGUGCGGUUUAAUCUAAUUCAACGCAGAGAACCUCACCAGAAGCGACGGCAGAAUGAAAGUCAGUCUAAAGGGCUUACUUGACGAGCCGAGAGGUAGCGCAUGGCCGCCGUCAGCUCAUGCCGUAAGGUGUCCUGUUAAGUCAGGCAACGAGCGAGACCUGUACCUACAAUUGCUAGCAACUAGCAAUAGGAUUGAGCACAUUGUGGGAACUGCCUUCGAAAGAAGGAGGAAGGUGCAGGCUACGGUAGGUCUGUAUGCUCCGAAUCUUCUGGGCUACACGCGCGCAACAAUGAUAUGGACAAUGGGAUGCGACUCCGAAAGGAGAAGCUAAUCCUCGAAACCAUACCUUAGUUCAGAUCGAGGUUUGCAACUCAGCCUCGUGACGCUGGAAUCCCUAGUAAUCAGACGUCAUCAUCGUCCGGUGAAUAUGUCCCUGCUCCUUGCACACACCGCCCGUCAAACCACCUGAGUAGGGUUUAGAUGAGGGCUUAUUUUUAAUAAGUUCAAAUCUAAGCUUUGCGAGGAGGGUUAAGUCGUCACAAGGUA